RNAcentral lists this ribosomal RNA (45 nucleotides) under uncultured fungus. RNAcentral describes it as "partial 5.8S ribosomal RNA". It matches the Rfam family "5.8S ribosomal RNA", at positions 1 to 44 of the family's 154-position model. From Rfam's summary of the family: 5.8S ribosomal RNA (5.8S rRNA) is a component of the large subunit of the eukaryotic ribosome. It is transcribed by RNA polymerase I as part of the 45S precursor that also contains 18S and 28S rRNA. The record is from RNAcentral. Lineage: Eukaryota; Fungi.
CAACUUUCAACAACGGAUCUCUUGGCUCUCGCAUCGAUGAAGAAC